AUUGAACGCUGGCGGCAGGCCUAACACAUGCAAGUCGAGCGGAUGAAGGGAGCUUGCUCCUGGAUUCAGCGGCGGACGGGUGAGUAAUGCCUAGGAAUCUGCCUGGUAGUGGGGGAUAACGUCCGGAAACGGGCGCUAAUACCGCAUACGUCCUGAGGGAGAAAGUGGGGGAUCUUCGGACCUACGCUAUCAGAUGAGCCUAGGUCGGAUUAGCUAGUUGGUGGGGUAAAGGCCUACCAAGGCGACGAUCCGUAACUGGUCUGAGAGGAUGAUCAGUCACACUGGAACUGAGACACGGUCCAGACUCCUACGGGAGGCAGCAGUGGGGAAUAUUGGACAAUGGGCGAAAGCCUGAUCCAGCCAUGCCGCGUGUGUGAAGAAGGUCUUCGGAUUGUAAAGCACUUUAAGUUGGGAGGAAGGGCAGUAAGUUAAUACCUUGCUGUUUUGACGUUACCAACAGAAUAAGCACCGGCUAACUUCGUG
Molecule: ribosomal RNA, 483 nt
Filed under: uncultured bacterium
Lineage: Bacteria
Description: partial 16S ribosomal RNA
Rfam family: Bacterial small subunit ribosomal RNA
Source: RNAcentral